This 253-nucleotide non-coding RNA is filed under the name uncultured bacterium. Its description in RNAcentral is "partial 16S ribosomal RNA". It matches the Rfam family "Bacterial small subunit ribosomal RNA", at positions 524 to 776 of the family's 1533-position model. The record is from RNAcentral. RNAcentral also lists the same sequence under 1 other name.
UACGGAGGGUCCGAGCGUUAAUCGGAAUUACUGGGCGUAAAGCGCACGCAGGCGGUUUGUUAAGCUAGAUGUGAAAGCCCCGGGCUCAACCUGGGAAUCGCAUUUAGAACUGGCAGGCUAGAGUUUUGGAGAGGGGAGUGGAAUUCCAGGUGUAGCGGUGAAAUGCGUAGAUAUCUGGAGGAACAUCAGUGGCGAAGGCGACUCCCUGGUCAAUAACUGACGCUCAUGUGCGAAAGUGUGGGUAGCGAACAGG